GCCAUCGCUCAACGGAUAAAAGGUACUCUGGGGAUAACAGGCUGAUACCGCCCAAGAGUUCAUAUCGACGGCGGUGUUUGGCACCUCGAUGUCGGCUCAUCUCAUCCUGGGGCUGUAGCCGGUCCCAAGGGUAUGGCUGUUCGCCAUUUAAAGAGGUACGUGAGCUGGGUUUAAAACGUCGUGAGACAGUUUGGUCCCUAUCUGCCGUGGGCGUUGGAUAUUUGAAGGGGGCUGCUCCUAGUACGAGAGGACCGGAGUGGACGAACCUCUGGUGUACCGGUUGUCACGCCAGUGGCAUCGCCGGGUAGCUAUGUUCGGAAGAGAUAACCGCUGAAAGCAUCUAAGCGGGAAACUCGCCUUAAGAUGAGAUAUCCCUGGGGACUAGAUCCCCUUGAAGGGUCGUUCGAGACCAGGACGUUGAUAGGUCAGGUGUGUAAGCGCAGUAAUGCGUUCAGCUAACUGAUACUAAUUGCCCGUAAGGCUUGAUCCUAUAACA
Molecule: ribosomal RNA, 496 nt
Filed under: Burkholderia cenocepacia
Lineage: Bacteria; Pseudomonadati; Pseudomonadota; Betaproteobacteria; Burkholderiales; Burkholderiaceae
Description: bacterial LSU rRNA
Rfam family: Bacterial large subunit ribosomal RNA
Source: RNAcentral